Molecule: ribosomal RNA, 491 nt
Filed under: uncultured bacterium
Lineage: Bacteria
Description: partial 16S ribosomal RNA
Rfam family: Bacterial small subunit ribosomal RNA
Source: RNAcentral
AGUGAACGCUGGCGGUAGUCCUAACACAUGCAAGUCGAACGGCAGCACAGUAAGAGCUUGCUCUUACGGGUGGCGGGUGGCGGACGGGUGAGGAAUACAUCGGAAUCUACUUUUUCGUGGGGGAUAACGUAGGGAAACUUACGCUAAUACCGCAUACGACCUACGGGUGAAAGCAGGGGAUCUUCGGACCUUGCGCGAUUGAUUGAGCCGAUGUCGGAUUAGCUAGUUGGCGGGGUAAAGGCCCACCAAGGCGACGAUCCGUAGCUGGUCUGAGAGGAUGAUCAGCCACACUGGAACUGAGACACGGUCCAGACUCCUACGGGAGGCAGCAGUGGGGAAUAUUGGACAAUGGGCGCAAGCCUGAUCCAGCCAUACCGCGUGGGUGAAGAAGGCCUUCGGGUUGUAAAGCCCUUUUGUUGGGAAAGAAAAGCAGCAGGUUAAGACCCCGCUGUUCUGACGGUACCCAAAGAAUAAACACCGGCUAACUUCGU